UGGGUCUCAUGUUAGAAGUGAUCUCGAAUAAGAUUUUUAGCCAAAUGGAGUUCAGUUGAUGGUUAAGCACAUCUGGAAAUGCAAGCAGAGGAAAUCUGUCAGCAUGAUAGCUCUAAAGGGCAGCUGACUUCUUUUUGCUUGUCUGUGAUAUUGGGGGCAGGAAAUUACCAGCGUCCAUCUUGGAGAUUGGAUAAAGUGACAAGAAGACAAUCAGACUUGUGCUGUAUCUUAUGGGGAGAGAAGAAAACUAAAGAUCCAGUUAUACACUCCAAAAAAGCAGCAGCUUCAGACAAAACGGUAUGACUUGAGAAAAUGAGAAAUCAAGAUACUGAAAGGAAACUACAGUAAUUUGGAUGACCAGAAUUUGUUUGAUAUCAUAUGGUGCUGAAGUUUAGUCUAGGAAUAUUUUAAUAAGGAUGUUAAUUUACAUAUAGUUUAGAUUAAUGAAUUAGGGAUGAUUUAGUAAUAGGUUAAGGAGACAUUCCAUACAAGAAGAUGGAAUGUUUAUGGCAAAGGUGGAUGGAAAAGGUGAAUACUGAGCACUCUUAGUUCUAGAUUAGAGUGUGGAAUAGAAUGUUAUAAGAUGAAAAGAAAUGAUUGCUCUAGUGUCAGCAUAUAGAAAGUUGCUAAGCGUACUAUUGGGUUAAAAUUGGAUAUGAAAGUUGCUCAUAAAUUUUCAGCAGAAUCAUGCUUUUUAAUAUAAAAUCAUGGUGAAGGUGGAAAUCUGCUGAGUGUGAAAGGCUGCAGAGGAAAUUAGUAUAAGACAAAGGAAAUGUUCUAUCAGUUCAGUUCAGUUCAGUCGCUCAGUCGUGUCCGACUCUUUGCAACCCCAUGAAUUGCAGCACGCCGGGCCUCCCUGUCCAUCACCAACAGGCAAAACUAGAAAAGUAUCUCACUCUCCAAGGAAUCCCCAAAAGCAAUUAGAAUAAGUCAGUUAAUGAAGAAACUAUUGAAAGCUAGUGAUAAAAAAUGCAUUUGAUAUAAAGG
RNAcentral lists this long non-coding RNA (987 nucleotides) under Ovis aries (sheep). RNAcentral describes it as "lncRNA (ENSOARG00000026535.1)". The record is from RNAcentral. Lineage: Eukaryota; Metazoa; Chordata; Mammalia; Artiodactyla; Bovidae.